ACGAGAGACAAAAGAAAAGACACGCGCACACUCACCCCACACUUCUGCAAGGUUUUUGUUGUAUAGUUCUGUGCAAAGAAGCUCCGCGAUGAACGUUUUCGUUUUUAGCUUCAUAAAUUGCGGCUGUUUUUCGGUUUGCGUUUCUGUACACUGAAUGCAUGGUAUAUAGUGGUUUCUUCAGUGAGUCACCCUGUGCUUGCUGUACUGUACGUGUCUCAGCACCGGACUGAUUAUUCUUGUGACUGUACGUAGGUAAGGUACCACCGCUGCCUCACCACUUUGUCCGUCAGCGUGUCUGCCAGUAUUUUCUUUUGCCAGAUUCAAUUCUAUAUAAUUGUAAAAGUCACCGUGGAUAAGAGAAGACAGUGAGUCUUCCGGGCACCCGUCUGCGUUUUGGAGUUGGGCUAACCGGAACUGGAGUCCCGGUCCUACCACUCUUACCUUCUACCUGAGCUGAGCUGGUUGUAAAGGCCAGUCUAACUGGCUCGGUGAGGCAGAAGUACAUUUAGUGUGCGCACAGAACAGUGUGGAAUAGUGACACAGAGGCAUUAAGUAUGAGUUCUAAGUCAGGCCCGAAACAAGUGCCCGAUAGAGAGUGAGUAGUGACGGAAACGUGGCUAGGACAGUUGCUGUCAUAGUACUCCUGGGUAACUUCAGCAAGCUCUGCUUUUAACUCUGAUACAAUGCGUGUUUCCAGAGGAUGUCUGAUAUUGUAGUAGUUUAGUGUAGUUGUUAUAAGCAGUCAGAGUGUUAUAGGCAGCUAAGUUAGAAACUACUACACAGUCAGAGAGAGAUCGAGCCCCCAAGAAGUCAGCACAAAAAAUAAAAGACACUGCAGUUACGGCUAAUGGCAAAUCUGAAGAGAACCAGCCUCUGGAUGGAAACGCAGCAGUGAGGCCUGCUUGUCCGCCUGGAAGUAAGCAGCAACUUGAGAUUAUACGCAACUAGCACCACCUGUUCCCGUGGACGCCGGAUAGGCAUCAUAUAUGGUGGAAGGAGGGAGAAGCUGGAAAAGCCCCUGUUAGCGUGACACAGAGGCUGGCCGGUGUUCCAAGCCUUGCCAUUCCCUGGAAAGCACUCAUCUUCCUCCUCCCAGGAACCCACUGAGGCACAGCACAGAUUCCUAGUUUGAAAUGAGCGUCAGUGGCUGCCAACACACAUCGUCAAAGCUUGGUGGUGAGACCCAGGCUGGCACGGACAUCUUCUCCAGCUCCCGGUUAGAGGCCGUCUGUCCGAGGCGCCAGCAAAGCUCUGCGCAUUCCCACCGUGAGUGCCCUUCUCGAUGGCCUCACUUGCGGCGUCACCACAACGCAGGGCAAUUAUUACUGACGUGGCACAGUGAAGAAGUCAUCGGUGCGUACGGUACAUUUUCAUUGUAUGUGGUGCACAGGGUCUUCCAAGUUGAAAAGUAAAUGCAUAGACACGUUGAA
Chinchilla lanigera (long-tailed chinchilla) is the source of this 1430-nucleotide long non-coding RNA. RefSeq lists it as uncharacterized. Lineage: Eukaryota; Metazoa; Chordata; Mammalia; Rodentia; Chinchillidae. The transcript has 4 exons. The record is from RefSeq and is a predicted model, not a curated record.